GUCAGUAAGGCCGCCCGUGCUGAGGCCCAGGUGGGCUCUGACUCUCCCGGACGGGGUAGUUUAUAGCCUGGAGGCCUGAUGCCCGGAACCUGUGAGGCCAAACAGUUGGCGGUGGUGUGGUGAGGGCUUUGCCGAGCGGGGAUUUUCCCAGAUUACCUGGAUGAGCCCUAACGGCAGUCUUCUGUCGGUCAAUGGGAGGGAGGCUUUGCUCAGAGACGAUUGGUGCGGCCGCAGAGGCAGAGGCUGGAGCCGAGUCGGGCUGGCAGCCCUCAGGAGCCAGAAGGCGUCCGUGUCCCUGCUCCGUCCUGCGGACACUGCAUUCAGAGAGUUCGGACUUCCGGCCUCAGAACUGUGAGAACGCCCAUGUGCUGCUGCCGCCGAGCUUGGGGUCGUCUGCAGCAGUAGCCACAGGGAACGGGCACAGGAGGAAGAAGGGCCCAGACCCCCAGACCAGAGGGCGAGCACACAAGAGAACGAGACUUCCAUCGUCACAGACCGGAGCGGACGGUGGGGAAAGGAGUCCCGGCCGUGCCCCUGCUGACCCGCCGAGCAGCCCAGACACUUGUGCUGAGACCCUGGAGGCCACGGCAGGAACACCUGUUCUCGGGGAGUACCGGGCUGGCCCUGCUAACAGGGGUUACGUGAGGUCCCAUGGCACCAGCUGUGUGCACAUGAGGGCAAGGGGAGGCUGAGGCUGGGCGCGACCGGGCUGGGCAGGGUGUGGCGAGGCAAAGGUCGCCACCGGCUGCUGAGUCAGUCACACCCGUGUGUGCUGAGGCCCUGCGGUGUGCUGGGCACCGGGCCCCAAGCAAGCCCGACUCAGCUCUGACCUUCGGGGCUCACGAGGCUGAUGAUUAGAAAGUGUCCCGAAGCAGCUGCAGGCGUCUGACCCAGGCAGGGGAGUGGCCGGGAAGGGCUGCAGAGGAGCAGGCUGGGCAGGGGCGCGGGGUGGCAGGAUGAAACUUACCUGCGGAGGACAUAGCAGGUGCAAGCAGGUGAGGGCCGAGCCACGCGUUUGCGCUUGCUGCUGCCUUCCCCUACCUGGGGGUAUGAAUGUGCAGGUGCCGCCCCAGGGGUCCUGAUUCUGCCGAUUAGGGGAGCUUAGGGGAGGGGCCUGGGCAUGGGGGGGCCUGACCGAGCCUCGGGGGAGCUAGGGUCUCAGAGGCUUCCUGCACGGUGGAGAAAGGGCCAGAGAGCACCAGGAACACAGCGCCCGGGACGCCAGGGGCUGGAGAUGCGUCCUGUGUGUGCUGCACGGCACAGUCCCCUGCCUGCCACCUUUGCAUCCCACUGGGUGCUGGGCCACAGCAGGUGGGGCUGGGCGUGGGCCCCUGAGGGCAGGUGCAGCCUCGCCCCCUUUUGAUUGAACCCCUUCCCCUCACAGGCAGGUGGAAAGCAAUCAUGGUGAUGGGCAGGUGGCCCUGCCCGCUGACGAAGCAGCGGAUCCACAGCAGCUCUGCCCUGGCCGCCCCCCACCGGCUCGCUGGAGCCCUGGCCGCCCCCCACCGGCUCGCUGGAGCCCUGGCCGCCCCCCCACCGGCUCGCUG
RNAcentral lists this long non-coding RNA (1547 nucleotides) under Oryctolagus cuniculus (rabbit). RNAcentral's name for it is "lncRNA (ENSOCUG00000037403.1)". Lineage: Eukaryota; Metazoa; Chordata; Mammalia; Lagomorpha; Leporidae. The record is from RNAcentral.